UGGGGAAUUUUGGACAAUGGGCGAAAGCCUGAUCCAGCAAUGCCGCGUGUGUGAAGAAGGACUUCGGGUUGUAAAGCACUUUUGUCCGGAAAGAAAUGGCUCUGGUUAAUACCUGGGGUCGAUGACGGUACCGGAAGAAUAAGGACCGGCUAACUACGUGCCAGCAGCCGCGGUAAUACGUAGGGUCCAAGCGUUAAUCGGAAUUACUGGGCGUAAAGCGUGCGCAGGCGGUUGUGCAAGACCGAUGUGAAAUCCCCGAGCUUAACUUGGGAAUUGCAUUGGUGACUGCACGGCUAGAGUGUGUCAGAGGGGGGUAGAAUUCCACGUGUAGCAGUGAAAUGCGUAGAGAUGUGGAGGAAUACCGAUGGCGAAGGCAGCCCCCUGGGAUAACACUGACGCUCAUGCACGAAAGCGUGGGGAGCAAACAGG
RNAcentral lists this ribosomal RNA (429 nucleotides) under Bacillota bacterium. Its description in RNAcentral is "Firmicutes bacterium partial 16S ribosomal RNA". It matches the Rfam family "Bacterial small subunit ribosomal RNA", at positions 355 to 776 of the family's 1533-position model. The record is from RNAcentral. Lineage: Bacteria; Bacillati; Bacillota.